CAGACCAGAGAGAAGAAGACAAACGAAGAAGAUGGAGUUGUGAUUUCUCAGUUCCGAAUGGCGGCCAUAUUGGAAUUUUCUUUACUGUCGCUAGUUUCACACUACUUGAUUUCUCAUGUUGCAGUAAGCUAAACGAUUUCAUCUCUUACGUGACUUGUUGUUCUUGCACGUAACUGUGUAACCGUCUGACUGAUAAAGAAGUUGUUAAAUGUCUUUACGUUUAGAAACAUAAUCAAGCAGACUCAUCCAAGCAGAUGCGAAUAGCCUACAAUGUCAGUACUCAAACCACCAGUAGCAGGCUUAGGACUAGAGUUUGCCAGUCAGACCACUACACCUUUGCCAGCACCACCACCCAGCAAGCUUCAUCAACUCCAGCCAUGCCGAGUUUACCAAUCAGACCUACACCUCUGUCAAAUUCGCUCACAACGCUGCCAGUAACACCCCUGCAAGGUAGAACUGCAUUUUCAUUAAUCUGGCACCAAUAUCAAGGGAGAAACAAGCCAUGAAUGUCUGUCACAACUUCUUUGCAUCUUUACUUUCCUUACAUCUGAAGAGUGUGUUACAUAUAUCAUUAUUAAAAAUAAUUUUAAUAAAUUGUUUAAGCAUGUACAAUAAAUAAAGCAUGUAAAUGAGCAUGUAAAAUAAAUAAACAAA
Long non-coding RNA from Sardina pilchardus (European sardine), 654 nucleotides. RefSeq lists it as uncharacterized. The transcript has 3 exons. NCBI's taxonomy places the organism in Eukaryota, Metazoa, Chordata, Actinopteri, Clupeiformes, Clupeidae. The record is from RefSeq and is a predicted model, not a curated record.